This 500-nucleotide ribosomal RNA is filed under the name uncultured Actinomycetes bacterium. Its description in RNAcentral is "bacterial SSU rRNA". It matches the Rfam family "Bacterial small subunit ribosomal RNA", at positions 66 to 565 of the family's 1533-position model. The record is from RNAcentral. Lineage: Bacteria; Bacillati; Actinomycetota; Actinomycetes.
GCGGAAAGGCUCCUUCGGGGGUGCUCGAGCGGCGAACGGGUGAGUAACACGUGAGUGACCUGCCCUCAGCUUUGGGAUAACCCUCGGAAACGGGGGCUAAUACCGGAUAGGACCUUCUGGUGCAUGCCGGGGGGUGGAAAGCCUUUGGGCGGCUGGGGAUGGGCUCGCGGCCUAUCAGCUUGUUGGUGGGGUAAUGGCCUACCAAGGCGUUGACGGGUAGCCGGCCUGAGAGGGUGUCCGGCCACACUGGGACUGAGACACGGCCCAGACUCCUACGGGAGGCAGCAGUGGGGAAUAUUGCGCAAUGGGCGGAAGCCUGACGCAGCGACGCCGCGUGGGGGAUGAAGGCCUUCGGGUUGUAAACCCCUUUCGACCCUGACGAAGUUGCCUGGUUUUCCGGGUGGUGACGGUAGGGGUGGAAGAAGCGCCGGCUAACUACGUGCCAGCAGCCGCGGUAAGACGUAGGGCGCAAGCGUUGUCCGGAUUUAUUGGGCGUAAAG